AUGAAAUGAAAUAAGUACUCAUGGCCAUAUAAUAAGUCAUACUAAACAAACAUACUACUUUCUAUUAAAUUAAUUUCGGUCGCAUCCUCUUGGGUCUCGUGUAGAAUACGCAUGUAAACGGGCCAAAAUAAACUAGUAUAGUGUUUGUGAGCGAGUGAAUUAUACGGUAGCUUAAAUUAAUUUAGGGUCGGUUUGUAGAAACUAAUAUAUUUUAUGAGUUUAUGCAAAUGCAAACGUUUAUAUAUAUAUAUAUAUAUAUUUUAAUAUUAAAUCUUGACGCAAAUGCAAACGUUUAUGAGAAGCUAAACUUCUGAAGUGAUAAGGCCGGUUUGGGGGUGGCACCAUCACCAUGAACGUGGCCCAAUAAUUUGAGCACAUAAAAAGUGAGGGGUCAAUAUGAUAUGAUAUGAUAUCAUCUUUAUGUUUGUCUUAUAUGAACAGCGCACACCCAAAGGGGGAGAUAGAUGAAAAUUAUGUCAUCCCACAAAAUCUGAGGCCCGUGUCUUAAGCCGAAAGUCAGUAUUUUACUCUUUGGCCCCACACACACAUGAAUCUUGUAAAUUAACCUUAAUUAAAUAAAAAUUAAAAAAGCGGCCGCAGCAAACGUUGUGCAAUAAUUAUUAAUAAUUAAAUAAUUGAAAAACUGAGACGCACAUGAUGCGAUGAUAGCAGGAUAGGAUAUCGCCACGCAGCGCAUUAUCUUUGAAUCAUUAACUAUUUACCAACUCCUUGUACUUACUUAAGUUAUGCUGUGCUUGUGCACACAAGAUUCUUUCUUGAAAAUUUAAUAUUAAGAGAGGGAGGGAAAUCCCUAACUUUGCUUUCCAUGAAGUAGGGAUAAAA
RNAcentral lists this long non-coding RNA (843 nucleotides) under Citrus x clementina. RNAcentral describes it as "Citrus clementina (C. clementina) long non-coding RNA (CCLE_LNC000058)". Lineage: Eukaryota; Viridiplantae; Streptophyta; Magnoliopsida; Sapindales; Rutaceae. The record is from RNAcentral.